This 486-nucleotide ribosomal RNA is filed under the name uncultured bacterium. RNAcentral's name for it is "partial 16S ribosomal RNA". It matches the Rfam family "Bacterial small subunit ribosomal RNA", at positions 30 to 507 of the family's 1533-position model. The record is from RNAcentral.
AUUGAACGCUGGCGGCAUGCCUUACACAUGCAAGUCGAACGGCAGCACGGGUGCUUGCACCUGGUGGCGAGUGGCGAACGGGUGAGUAAUACAUCGGAACAUGUCCUGUAGUGGGGGAUAGCCCGGCGAAAGCCGGAUUAAUACCGCAUACGAUCUACGGAUGAAAGCGGGGGACCUUCGGGCCUCGCGCUAUAGGGUUGGCCGAUGGCUGAUUAGCUAGUUGGUGGGGUAAAGGCCUACCAAGGCGACGAUCAGUAGCUGGUCUGAGAGGACGACCAGCCACACUGGGACUGAGACACGGCCCAGACUCCUACGGGAGGCAGCAGUGGGGAAUUUUGGACAAUGGGCGAAAGCCUGAUCCAGCAAUGCCGCGUGUGUGAAGAAGGACUUCGGGUUGUAAAGCACUUUUGUCCGGAAAGAAAUCCUUGGCCCUAAUACGGUCGGGGGAUGACGGUACCGGAAGAAUAAGCACCGGCUAACUACGUG